CCUACGGGCGGCAGCAGUAGGGAAUCUUCCACAAUGGGCGCAAGCCUGAUGGAGCAACGCCGCGUGGGUGAAGAAGGUCCUCGGAUCGUUAAACUCUGUUGUUAGAGAAGAAAGGGCGUGAGAGUAACUAUUUUCGUUUCGACGGUAUCUAACCAGAACGCCACGGCUAACUACGUGCGAGAAGGUGCGGUGAUACGUAGGUGGCAAGCGUUAUCCGGAUUUAUUGGGCGUAAAGGGAACGCAGGCGGUCUGUUAAGUCUGAUGUGAAAGCCUUCGGCUUAACCGGAGUAGUGCAUUGGAAACUGGGAGACUUGAGUGCAGAAGAGGAGAGUGGAACUCGAGGUGUAGCGGUGAAAUGCGUAGAUAUAUGGAAGAACACCAGUGGCGAAAGCGGCUCUCUGGUCUGUAACUGACGCUGAGGUUCGAAAGCGUGGGUAGCAAACAGGAUUAGAUACCCUUGUAGUC
This 465-nucleotide ribosomal RNA is filed under the name uncultured bacterium. RNAcentral's name for it is "partial 16S ribosomal RNA". It matches the Rfam family "Bacterial small subunit ribosomal RNA", at positions 338 to 795 of the family's 1533-position model. The record is from RNAcentral.